UGGAAUUCAAGAGCAUAGAUGCGAGCUUCUUGGGCGAUGAGAAUGGGAAGCUGUGGAAUGUGCCGGAUUCUAGGGCUGCUAUAUUUAAAGACAAGAGCUUGAGCUUGAUGGAGAAGAAUCGGUUGAUGAGGUUCUUUAAGCUGGUGCAGGGACAAUUGGCUGCUUCUUCUGGCGGAGAUCGAGUAAAUGAGAAUAAAGAAGAAGAACAAGAAUCAGAGAGUCCGGGAAUUUCAGAGGAAGAUUUGGAGCGUCCAUUUGUUGAGUUCAUGACUAAAAUGAAGUUGCCUUCCAAGAUUAAAUC
This 301-nucleotide unclassified non-coding RNA is filed under the name Hevea brasiliensis (rubber tree). Lineage: Eukaryota; Viridiplantae; Streptophyta; Magnoliopsida; Malpighiales; Euphorbiaceae. The record is from RNAcentral.